Molecule: non-coding RNA, 35 nt
Organism: Myotis brandtii (Brandt's bat)
Lineage: Eukaryota; Metazoa; Chordata; Mammalia; Chiroptera; Vespertilionidae
Source: Rfam
CUGUCUCUUGCCUCAACAGUGCUUGGACAGAGCUG